CUUUCCAAUUUUUUCCUAAUCCAGCCCUCUUUGGUGAUAAAACUUACAUCAAUCGAUUACUCUUGAUGAGGACAGUUGAUUGAUGUUGGUUCUGACUUAGUUCGUUGAUGGCCGAAUUCCGGUCAAAUGGCCAUUGACCGGCUAGAAUUCCCAAAUCUUUCUCUUAGAUUUCUUUUUCGUCCAAGCCUUUGAUUCCUCAUAGAUUUCUGACCUAUGAAGUAUUUAUCGGACUGAAAGACAGAAUGAAUACUCAUCAGCUAAAUUUUUUUGGCUAUUUGAAGAGGCAUUCUUGGGAUUUCAUUCCUCUUUUCCCAAAUUUGGUUGUCGUUGCUACUGGUUAAAUCCUUUGACGGCAGAUGUGAGGGAUUUAAUGAGUAAAAACAGAAAACUAAAAGGGUUGAAAGGAAAAGAAAAUUAAGGAAGAAGUCCUAAAUCUUUGGCUAUAAAAGGACACUUUCUCACAGAUCCACACACACAUUUUUUCACACGCCUGUGCCCUAUAGCAACUGGAAAUUUGAGAAUUCCAUAUCUGAACUUCAGAGAAGUUUCAAAAACCCAAAGUUGAAAAAAAAAAAGGGAAUCAGAAGCUGAUCCAAAUCUCAGCUCAUUUACUUUAUAUUCUCUAGGAAUUUCAAUAUAGAAGUGUUGUUGUUUGCUACUGUUUGGUCUUUGUUUUGAUGUUUUCUGCCUUAGGUACGUGUACUUUCAUCUGUAGCAUUUUUUUUUGAGUUUGAGAAUGAAUUUUGAGUUGCCUAUGCUCUGUUUGUGUUUAUUCCUAUAGAUCCAAGCAUGUUAGUUACAAAUCUGCCUAGUUUGCCUUCUUAAUUGACCUUUGUAUUAUUUGUCUACUACUGACAAUGAUUUACACUCUUAAAUAAUAAUUCCUACUUAAUGUGGUCAUUAAUAGUAAUUGAUUUGAGCGUAUGUUUAUCUGCUGGAUUUUAAAAUAGCCAAAGUGAUUUACAAGAGUAACCCAAAUGGCUAUGUCUUUGUAAAUUUAGAAGUUGUUUGGAGAAAAGAGAACAACAUGGGAGGCAGACUUUUGUCAUGGAAGCUCAUAGAAUAGAAGCCUAUAUUUAAUUUUAUAUUAAUGAGUUUGUAAUUCAUGCUAUGAUUAGUGAAAUGUAUGAUUUAAAUUGCUCGUCUCUGUCUUAGUAUCUAGUUGAGUUGUUAAUUAAUUUAUAUUUGUAAUUAUUCAAUUGUUAAUGCUGCUGGGCUCAUUUCUGAGGCCCAAAUCUAUUGUUUAGAAUUUCGAAUUUGUAUGUCCUGGUCCAACAAUUUUUGAGGCCCGCGAUAAUUUAUGGACUCCUGAAAAGAUUAAUGACAUUGAAACAUAAUGAUUUGGGCUUCAAGUUUAGCCCAUUUAUGACUACAAGACCUGUUAAACGUCUGGUGCAUUUGGUUAGAUCAUUUGAGUCCAUAAUGUUGUCACCUAGUUAUUAAUCCAUGAUGAAGUAAUUAAUUAAUGUAGAAAAUAUGUGAUCAAUUUUGAAAUAAGUCAUGUUCAUUAAAAUCACGUUACAAUUUCGAAUUUUCCACCAAAGUACAGUACCAGUCUCGUGUUUGGUCAGCAAUUCAGCAACGCAACUUUAGGUGGUCAUGAGCUUAUUAAUUAUCUUUUUACUAAAGGCUGGGCAUCUGAUUUACUUCUUUAAACAUGCUUGUUCACCAAAUAAUUCCUUAGUUGUGAGACCUCUUUCAAUACUCUCAAACAUUUAGAAAUUAAUUAACCUAUGAACACUCGUAGAAUGCUUUAGGCGCGUUAUUAAUGUAGUAUCGUGAUUAUGUAUACAUUCGUGUAACAUAAUUAUGAUUUCAAAAAUAAAUCAAGGUAUGCAUUCAUGCGACUUUGGCUAAACAAUCUUAAUAAUAAUAAAGUGUUACUAAUUGUGUACACGUACACGUGACAUGAUUUUAGCACACCAAAUAAAAUAGAUUCACACACAUAUGAUACGUUCCAAGAUUAAUUCCAUAACGCCACAAUCAAGUAAUUAAAAGCGGUAAAAGUUAAAAAUGCUCAUAGGUUCCUAAAAUGUGUAAUUAACAAAUAAUCAAGCCAAGUUAUGAUUGUAAAGCGACCAUGCUAAAAUUGCGGAAUCUGGGAGUGCCUAACACCUUCUCCCGGGUUAACUGAAUUCCUUACUCGGUCUUCUAUGUUUCGCAAAUUUAAACAGAGUCAAAAAAUUUCCUUGAUUUGGGAUUUAAAAUAAAUGGUGACUUGGGACACCGUAAAUAAUUAUUUCAAGUGGCGACUCUAUUAAAUUAAAAUAAUCUAAUUUUACUAAUGACACUUAAAUUGAAAAACCUCCUUUUCCCGUAAAAAGGAGGUGUGACAGCUCUGACAACUCGGUUGGAGAAUACGAACCCAGAAUCUCUAGUUCAGGGUUCAAAAUUCGAGCUUGUAAUGUGAUCUAUACUUGGCUUUGUUGAUUGUAUGAUAUUACUAUAUUUGUGGCCUAAUGUGCUAAUUUUCGCUCAUUUACCGCUUUGAUGUUAUUUGAACUGUAUAAACUGCCUUCUUAUGUCUCCCUUCUAAGUCUUCUGAAUUUAUAGUGCACACGUAUGCGUGGCCCACUUUUCUGUUAGAGGUUAUACCAAUUAGAACGAGGCUGGGUCAGUAAUUAGGCCAAGUAGACUUUCGUGCUCCCGGUAUGUUGCCCCCACCUCGGCACGAGCUGUCCGCUUGGGUAAGCCAGGUAUAAAACACUCCCCCCUCAGAAUUUAAACCUAGAAUAAAAUAGCCUCAUGCCGGAUUCCUAGUAAGAACAUUUAUUUGCAUCAUGUACAUUUGGCUUUGGAGACUUAACACAGGGGUUGGGUCUGUCUAGGACAAGUGUACCCAAAAUUACAUGACCAUCCUGAUGCAUCUUACGUGCUACUUGUGCAUUUUAUUUGAUCUGGUUUGCAUGUUGACCAGUUUCUAGAAUAAGGAUAGAAAAUUGAAAACAAGCAAGAACGAGAACUAGGAGAGAGAAAAUUCAUCCGAUUUCCAAAAAAUCCCGAUAUUUAAAAAAUCCUGAAACUCUGCCGAAUUUUUGAAAAAGAAAGAAAGGUCGUUUCAAAAUGAGCCAAAAUUUUCAAGUGUCAUAUUUCCCCUAUUUUGUCAAAACUGUACGAACUACGCGAGUCUGAUUCUCACCGGACGUGAGAUAUGUAGGCAACGUUCAUAGCGUUCGGCCCUAUUUUUGCAAAAUAAUCAAAAAGAAAGUAUUGUGUCCAGAACAUCUUCAAAGUGUCGAAGGGAUGUUCUCGCAAGAACGGAUGUGUUUGUUAAUGGGGCGUCACUUUUACCAUAAUGUCCUCCCCCCGACCCUAAAGCUUUCCUUGAAAGUAUGAAGGGGCCAUAGUUGCAAAAAUAGCCACCCUUUUCUCGGCCAUAAUUGCACAAAUAGCCACCCUCUCUUUGACUUUUAUUAAAAAUUAGGUAAUUUAUAAAAGAUUAUUUUGUAAAAAAGAGUUCAUUGGUUUUGUCUUUUGAAACUAGUGUCAACCCUAACCUUAACCACCCACAGAUACAAAAUGAGUACUGUCCAGAACACACCGUUGACGGUUGUAGAUGAGGCUCCACUUCAGCUUCAAAUGUGGUGGUAUGACUUCGGGCAAGAUGGUCAGAAAUGGGUCACCAAGCACCUGGGGCCCUUAUAGAUAUUAUGAAAGUUAAACAACAUGGCGAUUUGAUUGAGGCACUAGUGACCUUUUGGGAUCCCGUUCACAAUGUCUUCCGCUUCUCUGAUUUUGAUCUUACUCUCACUUUAGAAGAAAUAGCUGGAUAUUUCAGGUUUGGCAGGGAUUUGAGAAACCAGUCAUAUUCCCAAGGGUUACCUCGGUACACCGGUUCUUCGAUCUUCUGAACAUCGGUAAGCAUAUCAAAAAGACCAACGUAGUCGGAGGGUGUUGUUCUUUCUACUUCAUGUACUCCAGGUUCGGGCAGCCAAAUGGAUUUGAACUGCAUGAAAAGGGCCUUAACAACAAGCAGAACAAGGACACAUGGCAGAUUCACCGCUGCUUCGCCUUCAUAGUGGCAUUUCUAGGAAUUAUGGUCUUCCUAAACGAGGAGCGGACAAUGAUACCCGCAUAGCCAGGGUUGUACAGGUCCUCACUACCAAAGAACAUCACCCUCUUGCCCCGAUCAUUCUAUCAGACAUUUAUUGGGCGUUGACUUUGUGUAAGUCCGGGGCAAAAUUCUUCGAAGGGUGCAAUGUUUUGUUGCAAAUGUGGUUGAUUGAGCAUCUCCGGCAUCACCCCAAGUUCAUGAGAUAUGGUCCGAGCAAGGAUAAUUUCAUUGAGAGUUAUGAAGAAAGAGUAAAAGAUUACAACUCGCUAGAAAGGGUGGAAGCUUGGAUAUCCCACCUAAGAUAUUUAAAUACAAGACAAAUUGAGUGGACUUGGUAUGGCUCCCGAUAAGAGAGGUGAUACACAUGUCGGCCCUAAAAAUCUAUUUGUUGUUGUUGGGUUUGAGAAGUGUCCAGCCGUAUGCGCCACAGAGAGUUCUAAGACAGCUAGAAAAGUACUAAGUAGUGCCUGAAGAUGAAGAUUUGAGUGUGCAAGUGAUUGAGCUACACCCUGAAUCCCCACCCCUCGAGGCUUUAAUCCAGCAAAUUUGGAAUGGUUAUCGCUACUUGAAAGAUGAUACCCAGGUGACAGAUCCUACGAGAGGUAAGGUAGAUUCGGGUUAUGCUAUGUGGUUUGAGAAGAGGUCUCGCGUAGAUGAUGAGCCAAAACCCAAAAGGCCCGCAAAAAGGCCACAUGUUCAAGCCUUUUAUGAUAAAAUCCAAGAACGGUUGGUCUGAGGUGAAAAGGAAAAGGGAUACCAAGAAACUAUUCAUGCCUUAGAAGAAAAGCUGAGAAACCUCCAUUUUGAGAAAUACUUACAAGCACAAGAAGCUGAAGGUGAAAAGAAGUGUCUGAUCUGCGAGAAUGAAGCCCUCCGUGCUCAGCUCCAACAGAUGAAGAAAACCUCUGAAGUGCCGGCCAGAAACUGGAAAGACCAAAGAAAUAUUGCCAGCUUGCUAGAGAAAAAUGCAAGAUUUUGAUGCCACUCUGGAAAAUAUUGAAAAGGCAUUACGAAGAGCCAAGGAAAAGAUUGGUCAACUAAGAGGGGAGAUAAAUGACCGCAUGUCAUAACAGAUGAAGAAACAUCACGACGAAGAGGUCUUCUCCCUUAGGAAAGAAUUGGGUGCCCUGGAAGAGGUGUUGGGUCAGCAGUCUAAGGGAUUUGAAGCAGAAAGGGAACAUUGUUACGUGUUGUUUAAUAAGCUGGAAGGUGGUAUAGUAAACCUGCAAAACCACAAUAACAGGGUCGGGCGAUUAGUGGAAGUCUGAGAACAGCAGAUUGGACGGUUGCUCCAGGAACGGGGUGCUACUAAGCUUAGAACCAAAGAAAUAGCUGACUACACCACGAUGAAAUGUAAUGAAUGUGAGAAUAUGACUAAAUCUAUGAUUUUUGCUUCAGUGUUGUCUUUCGCUCGCCAGGUCAUGGCCAACCUAGAGUUCCUUCAUGAUGAGCUUACAGGGGGCCAUGCGUCGUGACUGACUUAUGUCACCCAGGAACCUGGAUUAGAGUUUGAGAGUCAUCUGUCUUUUAAUUAUUCAGUCACCGAGUCUGUAGUUACUUUUUCUCGCAUUGAGUCUGUUGUCCUUCGUCCAUUUAGAGUCUUUUGUUUUUUCUUCGAGUUUGUACGUUUUCAUAUUAAAGUCAGUUAUUGAUAUUUUCGAGUCUUUGUAAUGAAAACCCCAAAAAGAUUUUACUAAUGAAAUAUGGAAAACCCCAAAAAUUUCUUUGCUUUCAUUUUAUAUUUAUUUCCCCGAACUUUUUAAUGGUUUGAUUCAUGCGGCAUCGUGAUGCGUAGGCAAUUCCCAUCGGAUGCAAUUAUAGCCAUAAACAAAACUGAGCGAAAAAUCAACAAAAAGAGAGACAAGUUGAGAGAAAAACAAAUAGAAAGAAAAGAAAUCAAAUAGUGACAAAACAAAAAGAGAAAACCCAGGAGCGUCAAAACAAAAGAGAAAAAUAAAAGGGUGGCCAAAGCAGAAAAGAAAAGAAAAAUAGAGCGGCAAAACCAAAAGAGAGCGAGAAAUGGAAGAAAAGAGCAUAGACAUUUAAAGGCCGGGAUGAAACACGCGACCGUUGCAAACACAUGGUAGAAGCAUUUAAAUAUUUAGGUGCAUUGCAUCCCAACAUGUGAUUUCCUAUCUGUUAAAUGUUUUAAAACUAACAAGGUUGUUGUGCGUGCAAUUUAGCCAGGUUCUACUCAGGUGGUUGGUUUUUGUUGGUAAUAUGGCUUCCCAUCUAUACUUCACAAGAUCUAAAGGCAAUGUUCCUAUGGCCUCCAAAAGUCAUCUACCAAUUAUUGAUCCUGAGGAUAGCCCGGCAUCGACUAUUCCACAACCAGAAUCAACAACUGUUGAAGAGAAUAGGAUGUUGUGUCUCCGCAUGAUGGAAAUGUGGGACGCCUGGUCUAAUGGCAGGGAACCGUCCAACACAAUUUCUGGGUUCCCCGAGUUGAUCCAAGGUCGGGUGGGGAUACCAACGUCCCUGUAUCCAACCCGUUCAUCCCAUACGGUUACCCUACAAUUCCAUCUAACGGUCCUGGCAUGCCUUCUGUGGUUCUCCCCCAAGCGCCGGUUUUCAGGGCACCUCCAGCAUUAUUUUUCGCAACACCUAUUUUCACAGGGGCACAACCGACCAUUCCCAGGCCGUGUUUUGAACCUCCGACGUUUAUAUUCCAAGACCCCCAAUUUCAGCAAGAGAUGACCUAUCACUCUGGACUGAUAUACUCAACAUCCACAGUAUGAUUUUCCGGUAGAACCAUAAAGAAUAGUCAAAAAUCUCGAGCAAGAAGAAAUGGCUUGGAAAAUGAAAAGCCUGGAGCAGAGUUUAAAGAACAUGUAGGGCCUGAGUGGCCAAAAGAGUGUCUCCUACUCCGACUUUUGCAUGUUCCCACAUGUCCAUUUGCGGGUUGAUUUCAAAACGCCAAAAUUCAAAAAGUACGACGGGCACGGAGACCCAAUCGCUCAUUUGAAAAGGUAUUGCAAACCAGUUAAGUGGCGCCGGUGGAAAAGAGGAACUUCUGAUGGCAUACUUUGGAGAGAGUCUGGUAGAAAUUGCAUUUGUAUGGUAUAUGGACCAGGAAAUCGCUCACUGGCACGUAUGGGAUGACCUUGCCAGAGAUUGUUUCCACCAGUUUCAAUACAAUGUGGAUAUUGCUCCGGAUAGAAACUCCCUAUCUAAUCUGAAAAAGAAAUCCACGGAAAAUUUUUGUGAGUAUGCUGUUAAGUGAUGGUAGGCUAUAAUCUCGUAUUUUAGUCGCUUAUUACACUUCAAUUUACUGCACUUUAAGUGUGUUUGACCUUUAAUUGCUAGUGUUUUUCACUUAUUGCGUGUUUUAUGCCUUAUAGGAGUGAUUCCUAGCUAUGUAGAUACUGUGGAGCUAAUUCGAGCUAUUUGGAGCUUUGAAUUUUGAGUAAAAGCCCAAGGGAUUAAGCCGGGAUCAUGUUCGGGGGUCGAGGACCAAGUCUGGACGUCAAAAAUCAAGCAAAAAUCCGUACUCUGAGAAAACUCCAUAACCGCGGUGCGUGGGGCAGUGCGUGGUGUGCCGCGGAUGCCCAAAUCCCGAUGCCUAUCAAUUGUUGAGCUCUUUGUAUUUCCCCACUAAUUCCCCGCAUGGCGCGUUGCCCCAUGCGACAUGCCUGUGUAAUCUUUACAGAGCCAAUGUUGUAUUUCGGCUAGGAGAAGGUUGUUUCAUCUAGGGCCGACCCUACUUGCUAUAAAUACAUGGAAAAACUUUAUUAUCUGGACUUUUGACAUACUUUGGACCUAAGGAGGCUAAGGAGGAGUUGGAAGAACACAAACACAAGGAUUUCAUCAUUCCUUCCUCACUCGAGACCCGAGUUUGAAUUGAAUUUAUGUUUUCCUAUACUUUAAUUUUAUUUGUGAUGUUCCUCCAUAUCUAUGGAGUAGUUCCAUUUAGGGUUUGAUGGAUUUGGUGUCUAGAUGAUUGUUUGUGGAUUAUAACUCUAGUUUUAUGUAUUGAAGCAUUUUUGGAUUAUUUAAUUGUUGCAUCUUUAUUCACUAGUUCAUGUAAUCGAGAGAGGCAUAACUUGUGAUAUCUUUGCAUUAUAUUGUUGGUUGAGUUCAUAGAUUCUUCUAAUUAAUCGAAAGAGACUAGUUGAAUAAUUUAUUAAACCUAGUUAGGAGAAUAAUCGCAAGAGGUUUUUCUAAAGACCAAUCCAUUACGCAUUCUUGCAUAUCUUCACGUGCUUAAAUUAUUUCAUCUUGUGAGGUUAAGACUUAAUCGAGAGGGUUUUUUUUUGCUGAAUGUUGAACUAAUAAUUGAGUGAAUUCGAGAGACUCACUUGAAUAUUAGAAGUAAAUUAUCUAGAGUUAUAUAUCAAACAACUAUCUUGAACCUAUCCUAUCAAAACCCUAUCUUCUCUCAUUGAUAACCUUUUUUGCUUAUUCCUUGCUUCGAUUGUCAUUAGUCAAUAACUUGAGAUUCUUAGUAGAUUUUAGUUAGGCAUCUUAUAAAUCUCAACUGUUGAUCAUCCUGGAUAGCAACCAAGCUAGAAACUAUGAGAAUACUGUUUAAAUCCAAUCUAUGUGGAUACGAUAUUAUACUAUACUAUAUUUGACUAGCGAGCAGAAUUUAAGUGUGUAUUUUACGCUAGUCAUUAAGUGGUGCGAGCAUGCUGCCCGUGUGAAGCCUCCAAUUGAUGAGACAGAGAUGGUCACGAUUUUAUUGUAGGCCCAAGAGGCCGACUAUUUCUAGAACAUGAUGUCUGUCAUGAAAAACCAUUUACUGAAGCCAUAAAGAUUGUAGAAAUGGUUGAAAAUGGGUUGAAAACAGGAAGGAUAUUGAGUCAGGCAGCCCUUAAAGCUACAUCGCAAUCCAUCCAGAAUGGCUCGGGGGGGUCUAGCCAAUCGAAAAAAGAGAGAAGAGGGAGCCAUGAUGGCUUCAAGAUCGAGGGGGUCUUGCAGACCAUUUAAACAAUCUUAUAUGCCCCCUUAAACCUCACAACAUUACUACCUGCACCAUGAUGUUGCAUAUGCAGUGGCACUGCCUCCCUAUGCGCGUUGAUGAAUGCACAACCCUACAUAGGGCCCCAACAAAAUUACAAUCAAAACCGAGCUCCAUCUUACAGAAAUAACCAUCCUUGCCAAGCUCCAUAUAAUCCUCGCCCACCACAAAAUACACCCUAAUAUAAUCCACAUCCCCGAGAGCCUCCCAGAAGAAACCAUUUCACCCUCACCGGUAAAUCAUACAUGAGUUUAUUCCAGAAGUUGACUCAAUUGGGUUUACUAUAACCUGUGGCUCCGAAUCGGCCAAACCCCGAGUCUCCGACAUACCGGGCUGAUGUCAGAUAUGCAUACCACUCAAGGUUGGUAGGCCAUGAUACAGAAGACUAUUGGACCCUCAAGAGGGCAUUUGAAGACUUGAUUGAAGCUAAAAGAAUUGUGCUGAGGGAUAGGGAGACUCCCAAUGUGACCAAUAAUCCAUUGCAUGCUCACAAUAACGGGCCACUUAUUGGUAUGAUCUAUGAUGAUAAAGAAUUUAACCCCCCGCUGAAGGCCAUUGUUUCCAUCGCUAGUUCAGAGACAAAACCUAAAGCAACAGGAAAACCGUCAAAAACUGAAAAGAAAAUAGCUCCGGUCCCUCAUGCCGUUGAAACGAAAGUUGAGCCGGCACCUGCCAAGAAUUUGGUUCUUUAUGUUCCAAAAUCCUCGAGGAAAGAAUAGCUUGUCCUCAUCACUCCAAAGAAGUUUGAUGAAAGUAAACUUAUAUUGAACGUGCCAAGGUUGUACGUACCGAAGGGAACACAUGUGGCACGGGGGACAAUAAUAUUACCAAGGCUAACUAGCCCAUGGUUAUUAGUCCCGCACCACAGAGUCCAAUAAAAGAUCCAACAACAGUCCCUUGGAACUACAAUAGAGUCAUGGUUACUUACAAGGGAAAAGAAAUUGUGGGAGAAGUAAAUGAGAUGACUCGGUCUGGGAAAUACUAUACCCCGGAUGAGCUAAGGAAAGCUAAACAAAACAGGGACAACCAGAUGCCACCCAAGAAAUUCGUGAGCAAUGAAGAAGCGGAGGAAUUAUUUAGGAAAAUGAAAACUUCGGAGUACUCGAUAAUUGAUCAACACUAAAAAACUCCCUCCCAGAUCUCACUUCUAUCUCUGUUGCUGAGUUCAGAUGAACACCGAAGGGUGCUACUCAAAACUUUGCACGAAGCUUAUGUUCCAAAUGAAACUACUGUUGCACAAUUGGAAAGAAUGGCCGAGAGAUUUUUAGAUGUUAAUAAGAUUUCAUUUAGCCGUGAUGAUUUCCCUGCAGAGGGAGCUGCCCACAACAAAGCCCUCCACUUGACUAAUAAAUAUGAUGGCUACAAUAUGAAAAGGGUGAUGCUUGAUGGCGAGUCUGGAGUAGAUAUUUGUCCCCUCUCAACGCUCCAGAGGAUGGAAAUUGGCACAAAAAGAAUUUGGGCCAACAAUAUAUGUGUGCGAGCUUUCGAUGGGGUUAAGAGGGAUACAAUCAGAGAAAUUGAUCUAGUCUUAACUAUUGGCCUUGUGGACUUUGUGGUGACCUUCCAAUUCUUGGACAUGGAAACCUCGUACAAUUUCCUUCUCGACAGACCAUAGAUUCACGCUGCUGGAGUUGUUCCGUCCACUCUCCAUCAGACGGUCAAUUUUGAGAAUGACAAUCAAGAAAUCGUUGUUCAUGGAGAAGAUAAGCAAUCUAUUUACCGGGACCCCUCAGUCCCAUGUCUUGAAGCCAAGGAGGGCAGUGAGCACAUCCUAUAUCAAGCUUUUGAAAUUGUGGUAGCUGACCAGUUUGAAGAGGGGGGACCACUACCUCAACCUUGUUUGUCUAGUACUUCAAUUAUGAUUGCCACCCAAAUAAUCAAAAAUGGGUACAAGUCCGGAAAGGGGCUCAGGGCAUCUCUAUAGGGCAUUACUAAGCCAAUUUCCCUGGUCGUGAAUGAGAAGCCUUUCGGGUUGGAUUUCCGAGCUACAUCAGCUAACAAAACAUGGGUUGGCAAACGCAAAGAAAACGGGUGGGUCCUGUCACAGCCCAUCCCACAUCUCCCCGGUCAUUUGACAAAUCAAAAUAUAUAGAGGAAGAAGAAGAGGCCUUCACAGCCGAAGACAUAAAUGAUAUUUGCGGAGCUUUAAAACAAAUGUUAUAUGAAACCGACACGGUCCAUCUAGGGGAAGGCACGAGCCGUGAUGAGGUGCAAAACAUGGGACCUAAUUUCAAGCUCCAGAACUGGGAGGCUACCCCAUUCCCCAUCAGGAGGGAAUCCCCGGUAGUUCAGUCUUGCUAUCUUUUCUGCAUUACAAGUUAUUUUAGGGUGUAAAUCUAAAUUCUGAUGAAGAUGAGGCCUUUAGGGAAAUAAAUCAAGAAAUGGAAUAAUUUGAGAACAAGCCUAAACCGAAUUUAAAUGAAAACGAGCCUAUUAAUUUGGGCAGUUCAGAAGAGGCUAGGGAAACAAAGAUAAUCAUUCACAUUGAUGAGAAAACUAGGGAUGCUCUGAUCCAGCUGUUGUUUGAGUUCAAAGGUGUGUUUGCAUGGUCUUACGAUGAUAUGUCUGGGUUGAGUGUUGAUUUGGUAGUAUACAAAUUGCCUACCUAUCCAGUUAUUUGCCCGUCCAAUAGAAGCAAAGAAAGUUCAAAACUAACAUCAGUGAUAAUAUUUAAAAAGAAGUCACAAAACAAUUAAAAGCUGUUGUGAUCCUAGUGGUACGAUACACCACAUGGUUGACUAAUGUGGUACCAGUGCCAAAGAAAGACGGGAAAACCUGAGUUUGUUUUGAUUAUCAGGAUUUGAACAAGGCGAGUCCCAAGGACAACUUUUCAUUGCCAAAUAUCCACAUUUUUGUUGACAAUUGUUCUAAACACGAGAUACAGUCUUUCAUGGAUUGUUAUGCUGGGUAUCACCAGGUUCUGAUGGAUGAAGAAGAUGCAGAAAAGAUUGCUUUUACCACACCUUGGGGAACUUACUAUUACAGGGUCAUGCUAUUUGGUCUGAAAAAUGUCGGGGCAACCUAUAUGAGAGUUAUGACUGCCAUCUUCCACGACAUGAUGCACCACGAGAUUGAGGUAUAUAUGGAUGAUGUGAUCAUUAAAUCAAGAACACAAGAAGGCCAUGUGUGAGAUCUGACGAAACUUGUUGAGAGGUUAUGCAAGUAUUAUUUGAAAUUAAACCCAUCUAAAUGUGCAUUUGGAGUUCCGUCUAGGAAACUCUUCGCUUCUUUUGCUCAAACAACACUGCUGAGUAUGAAGCCUGCAUCAUGGGCAUGAACAUGGUGGUUGAUCUGGAUGCACAAGAGUUAUUAAUCAUGGGGAAUUCUGAUUUAAUUAUCCGGCAAGCCCAAGGCGAGUGGGAAACUCGAGAUAUCAAACUCAUCCCCUAUGAGCAACAUGUGGAAGACCUCAGUAAACAGUUUAAGUCCGUCGAGUUCAAGUAUAUUCCUCGAUUCCAUAAUGAUCUAGCAGAUGCACUAGCUACUUUGGCCUCAAUGUUGUCGUACUCGGCUAAUGCUCAUAUUGACCCAUUGAAAAUUCAGGUUCGAGAAAGGCAUGGUUAUUGUAACGCAAUUGAAAUAGAUCUAGAUGGUGAUCUAUGGUAUCAUGAUAUCAAAAGGUUAUUAAAAACGAAAGAAUAUCUCGAGCAAGCCAGUGGGGAUCAAAAGAGAACUAUCAAAAGGCUUGUAAGAAGUUUCUUUUUGAGUGGGAAAAUCCUAUACAAAAGAACCACAGAUCUGAAUUUGUUGAGAUGUGUAGAUUCCCGAGAAGUUGAUAAGAUCAUGAAUAAAUUGCAUUCCGGAGUAUGUGGCCCCCACAUGAACGGGUAUUUACUGGAAAAGAAAAUCCUCCAGGCGGGUUAUUAUUGGAUGACCAUGAAAAAAGAUUGUUUAAGUUUUGUCCGAAAAUGCCAUUAGUGUCAGAUACACAGUGACCUGAUUCAUUCACCGCCUUAAGAAUUGCAUCCUAUGUCAGUGCCUUAGUCGUUCGUUGCCUGGGGCAUGGAUGUUAUUGGACCAAUCGAGCCGAAAUCUUCAAAUGGGCACAAAUUCAUCUUAGUUGCUAUUGAUUAUUUCACAAAGUGGGUCGAAGCAAUCACUUUCAAAGCCAUCACUAAGAAAGCAGUGUUGGACUUCAUCAAUUCCAAUAUUAUUUGUUGGUUUUGUAGUCAUAAAACUAUCAUUACGGACAAUGCUGCAAAUCUGAACAGCCACUUGAUGAGAGAGGUAUGCGAACAAUUUAAAAUUAUGCAUCAUAAUUCUACCCCUUACCGGCCCAAAGCUAAUGGCGUCGUUGACGCUGCAAACAAGAACAUUAAAAAUAUCCUUAGAAAAAUGGUUCAGGGUUCCAGACAGUGGCAUGAAAAGUUCCUUUUUCACUAUUGGGAUAUCGUACAACCGUGCGCACAUCAGUUGGGGCCACCCCUUACUUAUUGGUUUAUGGCACUGAAGCCGUAAUUCCCGCAGAAGUUGAGAUUCCCUCUCUUCGGAUAUUUGUUGAAGCCGAGAUCGAGGAUGAUGAAUGGGUCAAAACCCGGUUGGAGCAAUUGACUAUGAUUGAUGAAAAGCGCUUGGCCGCGGUUUGCCACGGGCAGUUGUACCAACAAAUAUUGGCCCGUUCCUACAAUAAGAAAGUGUGGCCAAGGAUAUUUGAAGUAGCUCAACUCGUUCUAAAACAUAUUCUCCCACAUCAUGAAGAAGUUAAAGGAAAAUUUGCUCCAAAUUAGAAAGGUCCAUACAUUGUAACAAGAGUGCUGUAAAAGGGAGCAUUGUAUUUGGGAGACAUCGAAGGAAAUGUCCCCGAGAUAGUUGUCAAUGUAGAUGUGAUCAAAAGGUAUUAUGUUUGACCCUUUACGCAAUUUUAACAUUCUCUGAUUGGGAUGACGAAGGCUUCCUUUCUCGCUACCCAAACAUCAUUAACCCUUUUGCAAACCGUUUGAGCCGGUUCUCUUUCUUUGAUUACCAUUUUUGGAACCUGGAAGUUAUUAUUGAAAACCAAAGAAUGAAAAAUGAAAAAAAAAGAAAAAGAAAGAGAACAAAAGAAAGAAGAAAAAAACAAAACAAAAAUCAAAAGAGUUCAUGUUGAUUGAACUACGUUUGACCUGAUUCCGAAAGGAUACGUAGGUAGCCUCACUCUGGGGUUCUGUCACACCAAACAAAAAAUUCAAAUUCCCCCAAAAGUUGAAAUUGGGGCAGCUGUUAUGAUGUUUUGGCGAUGAUGUCACCCGAAAGGUUCCAAAGUUGUAGUUCACUUCAAAAUUCCUUUUUCUCUAAUCCUUUUCAAGUCCUUCCUAUCAAUAAAUGCAAAUGUUCAAGAAUUUGAGGAUACAGUUACUUGGAUCUGAUGUAACAAAAAUGAGAGAAAUAAAAUGAGAGAGUCUUAUUGGUUAAAACCCUCACUAGUGAGUAGAGAAAAUAAAAAUGAGAGUCUUGUUAAGGAAAACCCGUAAAGGGUCACGAUAAGGUGAUGGCGAGAAGAGUAAUGAGAGAGGUCAGCUAGUGAAAACUCACAAAGGGCACUGUUGAUCGAAAAGAGCAUCCACGCAGCCAUGGUAUCAACACAGUCCUGGGCAAGGUUUCUCGGUUCCAUGGCAAAGGUCGUAAUGCGUUUCUGAGAGUCGGACGGUUUACAAAGGUCAGGCAUCCAGUCCAAAAGGCAUGUCAUAUUCAUUGAAGUUCGCAUGUACUCCCAGAUAAGUCUGUCUUUCUGUUCCCCGAAGAAAGGAACACCUUUUGUUUUAAAGUCAUUCUCCAUUCAAUUGUUUGUUUUUCUUUGAAUCCCUUUCGGUGUAAUAUUGUUUUGAAAACUAAGGAAAAGAAGAGAUGGAAAGACUGAUUUACAGGGCUCUUGUUUGACACAAGCUGAUAUAUUCAAAAGGCACUUAGCCUCGGCAAAGGCAUCGAGUCGACCCCGACUGGCCGUGAUUGGCCGAUACUCUAAAUUUGAAAAUGUUGGAAAAAGGACAUAAAAUUGAAAUGCCCACAAAGGAAAAAUGAAGUUGAAAAGGUUAAGUCCCACUUGACUAACCGUCUUGCAAAGUUUGAAAAAUCAAAGGUUCCCCAAUGCUCUGAAAUUGGAACUUUGAAGAAAGAAGUCAAACGUUAAAUGCCCACAAAGGCAAAAAUAAAGUUGGAGAGGUUAAGUCCCGCUACGUGACUAGCUUUCAUGGCAAAAGUUCGAAAAGCCAAAGGUUCUCCGGGGUCAGAAAUGUAGUUGGUAUUCAGAAAAUAACCUGUCGCAGUUGAAAUCAACAAGAAAAUGGGCCGAUAUCAAGAGACUGAAACACUCAAGGCCACAAAACCAACCAACGUUUUAAACUAACAAUUGUUCUUUGUUGAAAAACAGGAAACGGACAAUGCAGGAAAAACCAACCUCCCAAAAAGCAGGUGCCAAUAAAAGUAAAUCCCACGGAGACUAAAAAAUAACUCUCCAACAGUAAAAACUCUCAAAAAGGGAAGUCUUCUAAAAAUUCCUUCCCGCAUUUUACUUAUUCUCUAAAUAAAAUAAUAAAAAAAAGAAAUAAAAAAAGGGAAAAGGAAAUUUCAAAAUCAUGGUAGUAUAGGGUACACCAAUCCCUAGCUAUAUUUUCCAACUUAGGGUACAUCAUUCCUCAGUUGAUGUUUAGAUAUAGAGUACACCACUCCCUAGUCUUUUUUCAGUAUAGGGUACACUAAUCCCUAGCUGUGUUUUCCAACAUAGGGUAUACCACUUCCUAGUUGAUUGAGCUGAAAUGCGGGGUACAUCAUUCCCUGAUAUCAUUCUUUUAGAUAUAGGGUACACCACUCCCUAGCUGUGUUUUUCAACAUAGGGUACACCACUUCCUAGUUGAUUGAACUGAAAUGCAGGGUACAUGAUUCCCUGAUAUCAUUCUUUUAGACAUAGGGUACACCACUCCCUAGUCUUUAUCCAGUAUAGGGUACACCAAUCCCUAGUUGUGUUUUCCAGCAUAGGGUACACUACUCCUUAGUUGAUUGAACUUAAAUGUAGGGUACACUACUCCCUGAUAUCUUUAUUGACAGAGCUUAAAUGCAGAGUACACCACUCCCUGAUAUUAUUCUUUUAGACAUAGGGUACACCACUCCCUAGUCUCAUUAUCAGUAUAGGGUACACCAAUCCCUAGUUGUGUCUUCCAACGUAGGGUACACCACUCCCUAGUUGAUGAUUAUUUUAGACACAAGGUACACUACUUCCUAGUCUCCUUACCAGUAUAGGGUACACCAAUCCCUACAUGUGUCUUCCAACAUAGGGUACACCACUCCCUAGUUGAUGAUAUUUUUAGACAUAGUGUACACCACUCCCUAGUCUCCUUACCAGUAUAGGGUACACCAAUCCCUAGUUGUAUUUUUCAACAUAGGGUACACCACUCCCCAGUUGAGUUGAGCUUAAAUGUAGGGUACAUCACUUCCUGAUAUUAUUCCUAGACAUAGGAUACACCACUCCAUAGUCUCCUUACCAGUAUAGGGUACACAAAUCCCUAGUUAUGUUUUCCAACAUAGGGUGCACCACUCCCUAGUUGAGUUGAGCUUAGGCAUAGUGUACACCCUUCCCUGAUAUAAUUCCUAGACAUAGGGUACACCACUCCCUAGUCUCCUUACCAGUUUAGGGCACACCAAUCCCUAGCUGUAUUUUUCCAACAUAGGGUACACCACUCCCUAGUUGAGUUGAGCUUAAACGCAGGGUACACCACUCCCUGAUAUUGUUACCAGUUGACCUUAAAUGCAGGGUAUAUCACUCCAUGAUAUUAUUAUUAUUUGAUUGUGCUAAAAUGCAGGGUACACCAUUCUCUGAUAUCAUUCCAAAUAUAGGGUACACGAUUUUCUAGUUUUUACCAGUGUAGGGUACACCAAUCCCUAGUUGUGUUUUGAAACAUAGGGUUACACAACUCCCUGAUAUCUUGCCAAUAUAGUGUAUACCAUUCCCCGACUGCAUUUUCCCAACAUAAGAUAUACCAAUCCUUAGUUGAGGCAUCAUUUUGACAGUAAGGAAACACCAUCUAAAAAAAAAUAUAAUAACUCACGAAAUUUUUCUAGUAAAAACUAAGGCAGAAAAAUUUUGUUUGUUUGUUUGUUUUGGUGUCUGAGCAGCUUUUACCUCGAGGCACAGAGUUUGAAAUGACCCAAAAGAAGAAGUCUCAAUCUAGAAUAAAGAAAAAAAAGUGAACCCACAAUGUAGAAGGGGAUGAAAAGAUGUUGACUGCCCAAGACAUGAUUGAAGUCACGAGCAUUGCAUUUUCCUUUUUGAUCAGAAGAAGCCAUAGAAGAAUGAACUAGCACCUACAACUAGCAAGCAUCAAGAUUGAGAUCAGGGUCUGCAUGAAGAACCAGUCAAGACUCAAGAUCAAGUUUCAGAAGACUUAUAGAUAGGAAUCUUGUAACUCAUAGCUAGUAGGAUUGUUUAGUUUCUCUUGAUUUUGAUUAUGGUGUAAUAAGGAGUUCAUCAAGCAGUAACAACAGAAACAACAGUGAAAUCACAACUCUUUGUUAGUCCCAGCUACCAAACUUCCAGAACUACACUGACCUGAUUCCUUUAUAGCCAAGGAUAUGUAGGCAACAUCGAAGCAAUGUUCGGUCACACUUCUUCAAAAUGCUUCCCAUGGAGUAUCAAACGGGCAAAAAUUGCUCAUAAUUGCUCACUUUAUCUUUGUCCAAAAACUCUUCAUGUUUUCGAGCAAAGAGGGGUAGCUGUGAGCACGUAAUUUUUGUCCCGUGUAUAAAUUACUCCUAAAAUCAAACCAAAUAUAGGUUUAAUUGCUUUAUAGAAUUUUAUGAAAAUUUUCUCUAUUUUUAAUUGAUUUGUUUGGUAUUUAUUUGCAUCUUCAUGCAUUUAGAAAUACUUAAAAUUCAUUAUAAAAAAGGGCCAAAAAUAUUUUGUAUCUUAUUCAUUACAUUUUUAUAUUUUUAUUGCAUCAUUAGCAUCUAGUUGCAUGUUAGUUGCAUUCAUAAAAAUAAAAAUCACGAAAAAUACAUUAGUCGCUUUGCCGUUGUUUUGCAUUCUUAGAAUUAAUUAAUUAGUUAAUUAGUUAUUUAUUCAAUCUUUAUUUAAAAUUAGUAAAUAGGUUAAGAGACCAUUUGGAUGGGCUUAUUUUAAGUGACUUUUAAGCCAAAAUAGCUUUUAACCCAUAAGUUAGGAAUUCUAGUUUUUGGCUUUUUGCAUAUUUUUGUCAUUUUUGUUUAAAAAUAAGUACUUAAAAAUAUUUUUUACUUUAUCCAAACACUACAAAAUGGAUUAAAGGCAAUUUUGACUUAAACGCACUUAAAAUAAGCCAAUCCAAACGGGCUCUAAGUUUGUAAUUUGAGUUUUAAAUGUUAAGUUAGUUUGAUUAGUGGCUAAAUACAAAAUGAAGAGAAAGAGCUUAAGGCUUUUUUGAGUUCAAUUGAGACUAGGCCACAAUUUUCUGAAGCCCAAUUGCUCAAAAUACGCCCAAACCCGCUCCCAUACCCGGUCCAAUACCUGACCCCUAAGACGUCUCAAACGGCGUAGUUCUAUAACCAAACUACAUCGUUUUGCUGAUUGGAUCCCUUUUAAUAAAAUACCCCUUUAAAGAUCUGAUUUUUAUUUUUCUUCAAACCCUACCCCCAAAUGUCCUCUUCCAAUUUCUAGAAUCCUGGGCGGCCGAAUAUCGCCUCCGCCACCCAUCCGCCACCGUUGACCACCGUCUAACCACCGCCGAAAAUCGUCCCAUGAUGGUUGGCCACCCCUAUCAACCCCAAUUUUCACUCUACAAUCGUCACCCCUUCCUCAUCCUUAUUCCAUCAACUAUUUCUUCAAAAUCUAUCCAAACUCCACAAUUUGACGGCAAACAGUAUUGAUAGGUAAUCUCUGCCCCUAUGUUUCAUUUAGUGUAGAUUAAUGGUCGCCCUUGUUCGAUUUCGGUUCGCCUUUAAUUUUAUUCGCUAUGUUUUAGUUAGUUAGUGAUACUUGCACGAUUAGAGUAAUAGUUAAUUACAUGCUUAAAUUAGUUUACUUGAAUUUUUAGGUAAUUAAUGUUUAAGUAUAAUUUGUUGCUUAGUUUGAAUCUGCAUUUGUUAAUGUGUGGCUUUUUAUUUGGUUUUGGGCUUGUCUUGUUUGAUAGACAUGCCCAUUAUGGGUAAAGUCCAAUAGGGAAAUAGUACUCAUGGGCCUUGAUCUCGUCCAAUUUCACGCCUCAAAUCAAGGUUAUGAAACGGUCGAUUGCAAUAAUAGUACCCAACAAGAGUCGGGAUCGAUUUUCACAGGGAGCUAUAUAUGGGAGUUAGGAGUAUAUAUUGUAGUAUGUGAGUUUGACUAUCUCAAUUUACACUUCCACAAAUUUGGGUUGUUUCUAUGUCUUAUUUAAAACUAAGAUUGCAAAGUUAAGAAAUAAAACUAAUAGAAUUAUUUUUGUUGUUUUUCAAGUUUUGUAAAAAAUCCUAGGGCUAUGACCAUCACCUAGGUAUUUGCCUUAUGGGAUAUAGACCUUAAUGCUUGUUUUAUUGAUCGGGAUGUAUUGUAGCUAUCAACUCUCAAUUACCCACCCAAUACCUCUCGUUCAAAUAGUGAUUUUGCCCAAUUUGGCUUUCUCAAGUCCAAAUGGGUAUUGCACAAAAUGGUUGAUAAAAGCUCAUGUCGGGUUAUUACUAUCUCUAGGUUGAACCCUUUAAUUGGGAUUAUCAAUCUUUCGAUUGACCCAAUUUCUUAUUAGCCAAGUUGUCCUAGACUAAGUCUCUCUUUCUCAAGUAGAGACUAAGUCAAAUAUGCAUGAACUAACGUUUGCAAUCAUUAAUUCCAUAAAUUAAAGUAUGAACAAGGCAAAAUAAUAAACACCCAACCAUAAACAAGCAUCAAAUUAAACACCCAUAAGGUUUACACACUAGGGUUGGGUCACAACCCUAGUAAACAUCUAGCUACUCAUGCUUGAAAUUGAAGAAAUAAAAGAAGAAAUGAUAAAUAAACUCAUAUUGUGAAACCAGAAUGAUAAAAUCUAUGUUAAAAUAUCCCAAAAUAUGAAAAAUUACUAAAAGAAGUAAAAAGAAAUGGCUACUGUAGCUGCUGAUGUCAAACGUUCACCUAAAAUUGUGAAACUCGUCUAUUUAUACAGGGCUAGAAAUUUCGGACAAAUAUGCCCUUCGAGAGAGAUUUCUUCAAUCUUGCCCUUUGAGAAGGCAUCCUUUCUGUGGUCCGCACUUUUAUAUCUGCGGUCGCAACUGGGUCUUCUGCGGUCCGCACUUUUACACCUGCGGCUGCAAGGCACUUCUUCUGCGGCCGCACAAUUCCUGUGCGGUUCACACUUCUGAGGGGCUUGAAAUGCACAUUCUCUGAACUUUGUUCCUAGCCAUCGUUUGCGGCCGCACAAUUCAUGUGCGGACCGCACUUUGCACAAAGGUCUUCCGGCCUUUCCUUCAUCAUCUACAGCCGCAGAUGAUAUUUUGUGGUCCGCACUUGUGAGCUUUUGUGCCUUUUAUGGCCUUAAAUUUAGAUUACUCCUUUUUGAGUUGGAUUUCAUCUCGGGAGUCCAUCUUCCAAUAUUCUUGCAAUUUAGCAUAUUUCAUCAGUUUUCGAGAACACAAUUAAACUCUUUUGGACUAAAAUAAAAGCUAAAAGGCGUUAAUGAAUAGUCAAAAUCCUCACUUAUCAACUCCCCCAAACUUAAGUUUUUGCUUGUCCUCAAGCAAAUAGAUUAGUUCCCACCUCCACAUGUUAAGGGCCAUUCCAGCUAAUCAAAAGUGAGUAAUUCACACAUUAAUUGGGAUCAACAAUUACCCACGCCACUUAUUUAUUAUCAACAAGGCAACAAGUUAAAAUUUUAUGCACAUAUAGUUCUAAUAUGACACUUGAGCAUCAAGAGUUGAAUUUAUUCAUCAAGGAAGCUCGCUCUUUCAUGUAGGUCAUUGUGGAUCCCAAACUCCUCCUCCUGUACUCUCCGUUUGCCUAUCUUGCUUAAGAAUUUUAGCACUUAAUCCAAAUAUUUGUGAAAGGUUCACUCAUCUCUCUCAAAAUAAUAUCGUAAGUACGGCUUUAAGUACCAUAGGCUUGCCCCUCAUGUAGAUCGUCACUAAUGUAAGCUCACUCGGCUUGAGAUCACGUAGGGCUUUUUAGGAAUGCAAUGAAAGCUUUUGGACUAAGGUUGGAUAUGCUAUGAUAGAGUGGGUUCAUCUUUCCUUAAGCACUCUAUUUUCUGUUCUCGGCUCAUGCCUUGCCAAUUCUUUGAGGCAUUUUAUUUUCCUUGGGGGGACUAGAGAUACUUAGCAUCACUCUUUCUUUAUGAUGACAUUCAUUUUUCUCUCUUUGAUUUCUCCACGCUUUGCAUCAUUACUUUUCUUUGAAUCCCAUCAACUCUUCCACUUAUUCACUUUAUUUUUGCAUUUUUCUUUUUAUUCUUUCCUUUUCUUGCCUUUCCUUCUCUUCAUUAUUUUUGUUCCUUGAUACCUCUUUCAAGUUCCUCAUCUCUCCCCCAAACUUACGUUUUUAGCCAAUUGUUUCACAAGAGUGUUAAGGAAAUCUCGGGUGCCAAGAGAGGGUCACGACAAAACGGGCAUAGGCUUGUAACAUGGUUAUCAACUAAGAAAGGUUCGAGGCUCAAAUAGGUUGACUAGGGAUAACAACAUUGGUGGGCAAUGAAAAACUUCAAGGGGGUCAAGUAGAUCCUGCAAUCACUUCUCAAGCCAAGCAACACUUAAGAUUUCGUCUUGAAACACAUUCGGGGCAAGUUCUAGACCAUUCGCACGAGUACUUAGACUUGCAAUAAAAACAUCUCACCUCUCACGCAGCUGGAUUGUUAAAAAGGAUAGAGUCGAGGGCCCACAACGAACAUAUUCAAGAUUGAAAAUCACUCUGGUUCGAUUAAACCACUCGUUGAUUGCCUAAGUCAACACAAGAGUCACAAGGUCACUAACUAGAGCUAUUUAUUUUCAAAAACCUUGUUUUUAACCAUAAGCAUGUAGUUAAGUGUGUUGGUACCAAGUGAAUCAUGUUUGACUCUUCGAGCAUGACUUAAUUAGGUCUUUUUAUUCAUUACUACUACUAUUAUUGUUACACCCCAUAUUUUCGUACGUGAGAGUACAUCAUAAGUCAAUUGAUGUAAGACCAGAAAUGAUAUCAUCUUUGAAAGUAUAAAAUGUAAGUUAAUCAUGUUACCUUGGAGGUUACAAAUCUUUAAGAUCAUGGAUAACAACUACCAAGAGGGCUGAAAGGCUUAGGAGCUAAGCAAAUUAAAGAAAAUAAGUUUCGUUGAAUAUCAACAAGUUGGGAAUGUUAUAACAUGUACUUUUGGAGUGAUACUAGGGUUCUUAACGUGAUACGGAGGUCAUGUUAUGAGUUAUUUUAGUCGUAUGAUAGUCAUGUGUUAUAUUUUGAAGUCAAGCGAGUUUUGGAUCAAAAGUUGGUAAAGGUCAUCACAAGUUAUAUUCAUAAUGUGCUGAAUAUUAGGUCAAAUGUAGCAGAGCUUUUCUCCUAAUAUACUUAGAAUUACAGGAUGAUCCAUAUACCAAAUUGAAUAUCUACGAGUCUAGUUUCUAACACAUUAAACCGUUUGUCGAUCCGACAUCGGAGCAGAGAGAUAUUUGUCAUUCCGCGAGACUGCACAAACUGCAUAGGUGACAAGUAGGUGGGUCACUAAAGCUUUUUGAGCUAUACCUUUCGUGUAUUAUAUGAGGUCUUUUUGGGACAUAUUAUAUACCAAAUUGAAGUUCUAGUAAUGUAGUUUCAAACACUUUUAAGUAUUCAUUCAUACGACAUCCGGAUAAAAAGAUAUAAGCGUUGGAAAAGGGCCAAUGCUAGGGUGCCAAGUAGCACCUUUUUGACUUUUCAACAAAUUGGAUAUUUAUAUCCCAAUGUCGUCUCUUUCUUCAUUUUCCCAGAGACCACGACCAAAUAAGACCCAUAAACUUACCCUUAAGCUCUUUACAAGGGUUUCAAAGAAGAUUAACAUCCCGGGUACGAAAUCAAGAAGCGAUAACAUUAGAACGAUCCCUACGACGUAAUUAUCGCUAUAUCACCUCUCUUUUUCUUUGUAGUUUGAGUUUUGGAAGGUAUUUAAUAGUUAAGAAAAUGCCUAAUUUCUGUAUUUAAGAUUUUAAAUAUCAAGAAAGGUUGAUUCGUUUCCUAAUAGUUAGAACUCACGAGACGAUGAUCGGAAGCCAUGAGUUCGAGUUAUUCGACUUGUAGUGGACUGUUUUGUGGGUUGUUUUGUGUUAUUUUUGGGUUGUCUAUUUUGCUACUAUUUAGUGGAGUUUUGGAGGGAAAAUGGUGUGAAGAAACACCACAAAUUGAGAAAUGGUGGAUUAGUCGUUCUUUGUAAUAUUUUCGGGGUGUUUGACACUACUAUAGUUGUCGUUUUGAGUAUGAAGUGAUUGGGAUGUGUUGGGCUGUUGUAAGCUAAAUAUAACAUGUAUUUAGACUUGAAUCCACUGUAGGAGAUAAUUAUAUUGUGUUAUUUAUUAAGUUAAAUGGAUGGGCUAGACAUGAACUAGUGAAUACAGUUACUAAUUGAGGAUAGUUGGAGUUAUGGAUUAUUUUCUUUGUUAUAAAUAUAUGGUAUAAAGAUGGAAUCAUUGAUGAAUGACUUCAUUAUCAUGUUAAUGAUACUUUUAAGUUAAAUUAAAAAGUCUAUAAGGGGUGAUAUGGGGUAUACAGGUUUCAAUCGGAGCUUGCCGCUCGUCAUGAAGUAGUUGUGACUUGUUGUUAUUAUAUGGUGUCUUGUUAUUGAUAAUUAUGUAUUGCUGGAUUGCUAUGGCCAUUAUUUUUGGUAUAUGGUAUUGGAUGAGGCUCUUGUUAUAGGGUAUAUGCUUCCCAAAUUUACAUAAGCGAGCUACUAAUUUAAGUUGCGGACUUAGCCUUUACUCUACACUGAUUUUGAUUCUCUUUAUGCUAUGGUAGAUUGAGUUGAGUUGUUUGAAGAAUUGCCUGGAAGGUAUUAAGGACUCAAUGGAGUUAAGGUAUGUUAAGGUAAUCCCUUCUUUCCUUUUGUCAUGAUCCAUAUGAUUCAACGAAAUGAGCAAGCACGCAACUUUCACAAAUGAUUCUAUUCCUAGAAGUAAUAGGGUUUCAUAUGUUCUUUAUUCCCCAUAUGUCCUACUAUCAUAUCGUCUGUUCAUGGGUCUCAUGAAAUUCCGAGAGAUCUUAUUAACUUACUUCAUUAUGCAUUACAUUCAUUUAUACAUGUAUAUUGACCCAUAUAGUAUAUGUAUAUGGGGUAUAGGGAAAUGUUAUGGCGUUAUAUACGCACCACCACCUGAUCAGCUGGUCUACGUUGAUGAUUUCACCCACAGAGGCCGAGAUGAUAUGAUGGGAUGCCCUCAUGGGCUUAAUGAUAUUAUGUAAGCACAUACCUAUGCAUGAUGUGACAUUUAUACACAUAUGCAUGAAAUUAUAAAUGUUUCAUGAUUCACAGAGCUAUUCAGACUUACAGGUUAAGUUCUUUACUCCAUGUUUCUUUCAUGUCUUUUAUAUACUGCUUUCAUGCCUAACAUACUCGGUACUUUAUUUGUACUGACAUCCCUUUUUUCCUGGGGACGUUGUGUUUCAUGCCCGUAGGUCCCGAUAGACAGAUUGAGAGUCCUCCUAGUAGGCUAUCAGCUCAGCGAAAGGUGUUGAUGCACUCCACUUGCUCCGGAGAUGCCUAUUUGGUCAGUAUGAUUUGGACAUGUAUUAAUUGGUAUGGCAGGACCCUAUCCCAAUCUUUAUGAUAUUUAUGUACUCUUAAAGGCUUGUAGACAGAUGUCAUGUUUAUGGAUACUUGUAUGGCCUUGUCGGCCUAUGUUUUGAGUGUACAAAUGAUCAGUGCCGGCCUUNNNNNNNNNNNNNNNNNNNNNNNNNUGAUGGUAUGAUAAAAAAAUAUACGUUACAUUGGUGCUCGAUUAGGUAAGGCACUGGGUGCCCGUCGCGGCCCAUCGGUUUGGGUCGUGACAAUUAUUACCUAAACACGAAAAACAGACUCAAUCCCUUAAGAAGGUUGUCACACCAUCCAUCGUUGGGAAGAGUCACCUGGUUCACACAAAAAUUACCUUUGGAAAGAAUCGUGCCAUUAAGAAAACCAAAGGCUUAUUAUCCACUAAAACAUAAAAAAGCUAUUAAAUCAAAAAGAAGCUACCUAGUUAAACACUAACUAAUAAGAAAUCAAACAUAAAGAAACUACAAAGCAAAAACUAUUGAAAGCGUAACGAAUAUAUAUAAUGAGAGAGAAGAGAAUAUAUAUACAUAAUGAGAAAGAAGAAGAAAAUAGUAUCAAGUUAAUUACAGGCCAAAUAUUUCAGAAUCAUCAAAAUAUAUCAAAUAAACUCUACCCCCCCCCCCGAAAUAAGAAUAAGCAUUGUCCCCAAUGCGUAAAAAUAAGAGUAAAGGAAGGGUAAGAGUGAAGAAAACUCCAUAUGGCUCAUUGGCCAUCUCUUUUUCCACAACAGUAUCACCGACCUCAGCCUCAUCCAACUGGAUCUCAUCAUCCUCAACUCCGGGAGUGGCUGGGUUGGUGAACAUCUGACGUACUACCUCGGCAGUGUCAGCAGCAAAGUUUGGCUCCUCAGACUGGCCAACUGGUGUUAUAUGUGCUGUAGGAUCUGGGCUUGGAUGGUGCUAGUCAAUCAACAUGUCAAAUGGAAUGUCUACGGCUACUGCAAACAAGGUAACCUGUCUCCGGAGCUUGUCCACUGAUUUCUUGGAGGCCUGGGACUUCUGCAUCUUCUGCAUUUCCUUUCCCAUCUCUUCUAUCAAUGACCCAUGUUGCACCAAAGUGGCCAUGAUUGUGUUCUGAUUCUCCAAGAGCUUCUUCAGAGUUUCUUCAACCGUUGGGGGAAUCUGGGGUGCCAUAAUGGAUGAUUGUACUGCAACAUUACUGGAUAUGUGAGACCGCUUUGCAGUAGCUGUCUGCAUCCAGUUGUUGAGGCUCGCCAAUGUCGGGGUAUUGUUGAGGCUCACCAAUCUCUUCUAUCAAUGACCCAUGUUGCACCAAAGUGGCCAUGAUUGUGUUCUGAUUCUCCAAGAGCAUCUAGUUGUUGAGGCUCGCCAAUGUCUGGGAGACUCGCACCGGCUUCAAAGUCGAGGUGGAAGACACUGAGGCUGAAAGUGGGGGCAUAGUUGUUGCACAGGCUGAAGGCUCUGCUGAAGUGGAUGGCAUGUUGGUUGUCUCUGCAGCUACCACCAUUGGCUCAUCAUACUAGCCUAUGGUGGUAGUCGGCUGACCCUUUUCUUAGGGUUGUGUGCAUCCAUCAGAGAAUACGAUGAGAAGGGCUUCUUUUGCCUGAACCUUUGUAUCAAAAUCUCUCGGCUCUACCCGUGCAUCCAUAAGAUACUCAGUAAUGGUGUAGGGAUACGGGUAGGAGGUAUCAGCUUGCCUGGCGACCAUAUAUAUGUUGGCCGACAUCACGGCACCCAUAUUGAUCGGGUACCCGGCCAUGAUGGAGGCGACUAGAACUGCCCGCAGGAUAGGAAGACUUGUUUCAUUUUGGUACGGGUCUAAUCUACUACAGACAAAUGCCUGCCAUCCCUUCACCUCAAAUUUUAGGGUGUUCGUCUGAAUAGGAACCCCUAUUGUGAUCCAUGGUGGUGGUGGCCCCAGAGCUCUAAGAAUCUCAGCUAGCCAUGGGCGAGUUGCAUCUCCCAUUGCCAACUUCUCCAAGAACUGUACAAGCUCAACAUCAUCAAUCCCCAAUUAGGUGUUCAAUGUGUGCUGGUCAAAAGGCACCUUCAGAUUCUUCACUUUAGUUACUUUUGUCCCUUUCUUUAUGUGCGCCAUAUUGGCGUAGAACUCCCGGACAAGAUAUUCUUUUGCAUCCAAUACGCUCUAGGUGAACCACAUCCACCCCUUCCGCUCUUGGAACUACCUCAAGACUGCAAGAUUGUACUUUUCAAGUUCUUUCAGCUGAAACUGUUGCUCAAGAGUGAGCGAUCUCACUGGCCACCAUCCACGAAAACUUGUGAAGGCAGCCAGACUGACGAACCGGUCCUCCCAGACCUCUUUCUUCUUCGACCGCUCAAGUCCGGCAAUUGUAGUAUCUCCCCCUCAUCCAUCAUUUGAAAUAUCAUCAACUGUAGUCGUUGGUGCCUCAGGGACAGGUGUAGAGAAGAGCUCAGAAGACUAACUGGCACUCUCCGAACCCUUAGAGGUGCUAUGUGAUGUGGAAGGCUCGUCCCGGAGUUGAUACCUUCCUGGUGGCUUUGAUUGGACAGCCGGCUACUCUUGAACUAAGUUGCCCUCCGAUGCUUCCCUAGAUGGGGCAUAACAACUGGAUUCAGAGGGCUCUGCAUUUCUUCCUGGGCUGGCUGUAGCAUUCUUUGUGAUUAUCUUUUGGAGGGCGAGGGGUAAAGUACUUUUGCCUCAGCCCCUGGAAGGUUGACCCCUUCCCUUUGAAGUAUCUCCUCUGCCUCGAGAUCUAACCAUUUUAUGUAAUAAGCAACAUCAUGUGUCAGUAGUAAUUCAAGCGUAAAUGUACAAGAACACACCAGAGAGACAGUGAACAACAUAGUGUAAAACAUGCUUGCAGGGUAAGGGAGUGUGGUCCGCAGAAUUAGAAGUGCGGCCGCAGGCUGGGCAUUGCGGAACGCACAAUUUAAUCUUGCACCCACAGAAUUGGAUUGCGGUCUGCACAAUUGCCAGUCCGAACGUAGAAUUGAAUUGCGAUCCGCACAAUUUCUAUUAUGGCCGCAGAUGAGAGUGAUCAAAUUGACAACUCUCUGAUAACAUAAAACUAGUCGUUCUGCGGUCGCGAUGGGAUUUUUUCGGUCCGCACAAUUUUAAGUGCGGCCGUAGAAUCAUGCUUGACCAAAGUCCCUAAUCUCAACUUCUGAGGACCGCACAAUUUCUUGUGCAGCCGCAGAUUUCAAAAUAAAUACGAUCAGAGAUUCUGGGGUUUGCAAUUGUUUGCACAAAUUUGACAUGGUGGCAUUAUAUAAUCAUGAAAAACUGUUUACCCAUUCCCCAUACAGCAAGUACUAGUUGACCCACUACAUAUUCACCCCAAAAGAUUGUUCAAAUAGUUUCACUUACAAAUGGUUCACAAUUUUGCUAAAAAUCUAAAAAUUAAAAGAAAUUAAUCAAGAUGAUGAUGCAUACCAGAGAUGAAUUUGUGCAAGAGAUGAGUGAUCAACAAUUGUUAGGAUUGUGAUCAGCUAAUUUAACACGAAAUUGUGAUUUUAACACUUUGUGAGCUCAUAGAGGGAAAAAGAGGAACAGUGCCCAUCAACCCUUAUUUAUAGUGAAGAAGUUCUGGAAGGUGAAGGGGAGGUGAGUGUGGCCGCAGAAUUUCUACUGUGGUCCGCACUCUUUUUCCUGGGGCUUAGAAGCCAUUGUUGAUUUGCGGUCCGCAAAAUAAGCUGUGCGGCCGCAGAUUUAUUUAUGGUCCGCAGAAUAUGGGUUGCGGCUGCCGAUUGGCUAUUUCUCUGACAAACCAACUUUAGAGAGUUGGAAUUUUUCCUUUUCAAUUUGUCCGGUCCGCACUACAAUUGUGCGGCCAUAGUUCGCCUUUUGUUGUAGCAACCAAAAUUGUGCGGUCUGCACAAUACACUUACGGUCCGCAUUUUGUUCCACACUUAGCCAAAUUCUGGGCAGAAUUCCUGUAGAGAACACUCAUUCCUGCAACACAUUUCAAAUUCAGUUAGCACAAAAAUAACACCUAACUAUAAAAGAAGAAAAUAAAAUAAAAUAAAAAUAAACAUGGGUUGCCUCCCAAGAAGCGCCCGAUUUAACAUUGUGGCACAACACAGAUUACCAUCAUUUGAAAUGAAUAACUGCCACCACGUGGCCAUCAUCAACAUUUCCCAAAUAAUGCUUCACCUGGUGACCAUUGACUCGGAAUACCUCAUCAUUUUUGUUCUUCAAGUCCAAUGCACCAAAAGGUGUCACACCCACAAUUUCAAAGGGACCACUUCAUUUAGAUUUUAGCUUUUCGGGAAACAUCUUCAAUCGUGAGUUGAACAACAAAACAAGAUCGCCCACCUUGAACUCCUUGUGCCGAAUGUAUUUGUCAUGAAGGUACUUCAUCUUCUCUUUGUACAAGGACGAACUUGCAUAUGCGUAGUACCGGAACUCAUCCAAUUCAUUCAAAUGUGAAACCCGCAAGUUAGCGGUUAUAUCCCAAUCAAGAUUCAACUUCUUUAAAGCCCACAUAGCUUUAUGUUCAAGUUCCACCAGAAGAUGACAAGCUUUGCCAAACACCAACCGGUAUGGAGACAUCCGGAUAUGAGUUUUGAAAGAAGUCCGAUAAGCCCAUAGUGCAUCAUCAAGCUUCUUUGACCAAUCCGUCCGGUUAGCAUUCACUGUUUUUGACAAGAUACUCUUUAUCUCCCGGUUGGAGACUUCCACUUGACCGUUAGCUUGUGGAUGAUAAGGACUCGUAACUUUAUGAGUGACACCAUACUUUCUAAGCAAAGUGUCAAAAGACAUGUUGCAAAAAUGCGACCCCCAUCGCUUAUGAUAGCCCACAGAAUACCAAAUCUUGUGAAAAUAUUUUUCUUCAAGAACGCCACUACACUUCUCGUUUCAUUGUUGGGUAGAGCAGUGGCCUCAACCCAUUUAGACACAUAAUCAACUGUGACCAAGAUGUAAGUGUUUCCAUAAGAACUCACAAAAGGACCCAUGAAGUCAAUACCCCUCACAUUAAAGAUAUCAAUCUCCAAAAUGGUAGUGAGAGGUAAUUCAUUCUUAUUCGAGAUUCCACUGGCCCGUUGGCAUUCAUCACAUCUUUUCACCAUAUCAUUUGCAUCUUUGUAAAGAGUGGGCCAAUAGAAACCGCAACUUAGAACUUUGGCCGUCGUUCUUGCUCCGCCGUGGUGACCACCAUAAGGCGAAGAAUGGCAUUUUUCUCUUCGUCCGGUAUACAUCUUCUUAUUACCCCAUCCGUGCAAAUCCGAAAAAGGUAUGGCUCAUCCCAAUAAUAAUCUUGACAAUCCCGUUUGAGCUUCUUCCUUUGAUUUGAAGAGAACUCAUCCGGGAUGAUUUCACACACAAGGAAGUUUGCUAGAUCCGCGAACCAUGGCACCUCCUUCAUUGAAAUAGCCAAGAGUUGCUCAUCGGAGAAGGAGUCAUUGAUUUCAAGGCCAUCAUGUGGCCUCAUCUCCUCCUCUAAAUGAGACAAGUGGUCCACCACUUGAUUUUUACUCCCUUUUCGAUAUUGGAUGUCAAUAUCAAACUCUUGCAACAAUAGCACACAUCUCAUUAACCGAGAUUUUGAAUCUUUCUUGCUCAUAAGAUAACAAAGUGACACAUGAUCCGUAUGAAUAAUAACCUUUGCACCCAUCAAGUAUGGGCAAAACUUCUCAAUUGCAAACACAAUGGAAAGGAGCUCUUUAUCUGUAACAGCAUAAUUGACUUGGGAAUGAUUCAUGGUCUUACUAGCAUAGUAGACCGGAUGAAAAACCUUGUUGAUGAGUUGCCCCAAAACUGCUCCAACCUCUACAUCACUGGCAUCACACAUGAGCUCAAAAGGAAUACUCCAAUUAGGAGCGGUGAUAAUGGGAGUGAUUGUCAACUUGAACUUUAGAAAUUCAAAGGCUCUCAUGCAAUCAUCAUUGAAGUAAAAUUUGGCAUCUUUCUCUAAGAGCUUGCAAAAUGGGUUCACCACUUUAGAGAAAUCCUUUAUGAAGCAUCGGUAGAACCCCGCAUGACCCAAGAAACUUCGCACGCCUUUCACUGAGGUUGGAGGUGAAAGUUUAGAAAUCACCUCUAUCUUUCCCUUGUCGACCUCUAUGCCAUUCUUUGAAAUUUUGUGACCAAGGACAAUGCCUUCCUCGACCAUGAAAUGGCAUUUCUCCCAGUUUAGCAACAAGUUCGUUUUUUCACAUCUUGCCAAUACUCUAUCCAAAUUUGCCAAGCAAUCAUCAAAAGAAUCCCCGACCACCAAGAAGUAUUCCAUGAAGAGUUCAAGGUAGUCCUCGACCAUAUCCGUAAAGUUUGCCAUCAUACACCUUUGAAAAGUCGUCGGUGCAUUACAUAAGCCGAAUGGUAUCCGCUUGAAAGUGAAAGUACCAUAGGGACAUGUGAAAGUUAUUUUCUCUUGAUCUUCCGGAUCAAUAAGGAUUUGGUUGUAGCCUGAAUAUCCAUCUAGAAAGCAAUAGAAAGCAUGGCUGGCCAAUGGAUCAAGCAUUUAGUCAAGGAAGGGAAGUGGAAAAUGGUCUUUCCUCGUGACUUUGUUUAGCUUGUGAUAGUCCAUACACACUCUCCACCUGGUCAUCGUUCUUGUGGGAAUCAACUCGUUCUUGUCAUUGGUGACCACUAUCAUGCCCCCUUCUUUGGGACACAUUGUACCGGAGAAGUCCACAAACUAUUUGAAAUGGGGUAGACACCCCCGGCAUCCAACCAUUUGAUAAUCUCCUUUUUUACCAUAUCUUGCAUAGCUUCGUUGAGUCUUCUUUGAUGUUCAAUAGAUGGUUUCACAUCUUCCUCUAAUUUAAUCUUGUGCAUGCAAAAGGCGGGGCUUAUUCCCCGAAUAUCCAUCAAAGUCCACCCAAUAGCCUUCUUCCUCUUGUGGAGCAUCGCCAAUGUAGAGUCAACCUGCACGUUAGUCAAAAAAGUGGAAAUAAUAAUCGGUAAUGUAGAACAAGGACCAAGAAAUUCAUACCAAAGAUGUGGAGGCAAUGGCUUCAACUCCAAGGUAGGAGGCUCUUCAAUUGAAGGCUUUGUAGGAGUAGUUUUCCUAUUUUCAAGAUCCAAGGAAAGUUUUCGAGGUGCAUAGUUGUACGACCCUAUUCCUUGCAAAGAAUUCNNNNNNNNNNNNNNNNNNNNNNNNNNNNNNNNNNNNNNNNNNNNNNNNNNNNNNNNNNNNNNNNNNNNNNNNNNNNNNNNNNNNNNNNNNNNNNNNNNNNNNNNNNNNNNNNNNNNNNNNNNNNNNNNNNNNNNNNNNNNNNNNNNNNNNNNNNNNNNNNNNNNNNNNNNNNNNNNNNNNNNNNNNNNNNNNNNNNNNNNNNNNNNNNNNNNNNNNNNNNNNNNNNNNNNNNNNNNNNNNNNNNNNNNNNNNNNNNNNNNNNNNNNNNNNNNNNNNNNNNNNNNNNNNNNNNNNNNNNNNNNNNNNNNNNNNNNNNNNNNNNNNNNNNNNNNNNNNNNNNNNNNNNNNNNNNNNNNNCCCACAUUAAUCAUGGCACUUGUAUCAUCAAUAAUCACAUCGAUCACCAAGUCCACGAAAGAACAUAUUUCAUUGCUAUUUGGUUGCCGCAUAGAUUUGCACACGUGGAAUACCACCUUCUCAUCACCCACCAAGAAAGUGAGUUCACGAGCUUCCACAUCAACAAGAGCCUUCCAUGUAGCAAAGAAAGGUCUUCCAAGAAUAAUCGGUACCUCAUAGUCCACUUCACAAUCAAGAUUAACAAAAUCCACCGGAAGAAUGAACUUAUCAACACGAACUAAUACAUCUUCAAUCACUCCCAAUGGUUUCUUCAUUGUACGAUCGGCCAUUUGUAAUCUCAUAGAUGUGGGUCUUGGUUGCCCAAUUCCCAAAGUCUUGAAAAUCGAAUAGGGCAUCAAAUUGAUACUCGCCCCAAGAUCACAAAGAGUUUUAGCAAACUCGGCAAUUCCAAUGGUACAAGGGAUUGUGAAAGCACCGAGAUCUUCAAAUUUAGGAGCCAUCGAAUGCACAAUUGCACUCACUUGAUGAGUGACUUUGAUAGUUUCAAAAUUCAUCCACCGCUUCUUUGUCACCAAGUCUUUCAUAAACUUUGCAUAACCAUGCAUUUUCUCCAAGGCUUCAACUAAUGGCACACUUAUCGAGAGACUCUUCAUCAUGUCAAUGAACAUUUUGAAUUGAUUCUCGCCAUUUUUCUUGACGAGCCUUUGAGGAUAUGGAGGAGGUAACUUAGGCAGUGAUGCCUUAGCCUUUUGCACUACCGGAUCUGGUAUAUCAAUAACAUGAUCCCUAGACGGGUUCACUUCCUCUUGAGUCUCUUCCACAGUGUCAUCAAAAUCAAUUCACACUUCAUCAUUUGCUUGCACCACAUUAUUCGGGAUCUCUUCUACUUCUUUUACCACUUGCGCAUCAUCCACAAGUUGCCUUUGACUUGAGGUGGGUGUAUUCCCACCUCUUCCACUUCUUGUAGUAACGGCCAUGGCAUACCCCGUAUUGUUCCCACCCUUUGGAUUCACCACCUUGUCACUUGGUAGUACCCCCUUAGGACGAGAAUUUAAAGCUUGAGGGAUUUUCCCCAUUUGUACUUUUAAGUUGCGGAUCGAUGUGCUGUGUGAGGCAAGUUGGGCAUCAGAAUCGGCAUUCUUUUCCAUCAUUUGGUUAAACAUAUUCUCAAUACGACACAUUUCAUUGUUGAAAGAACUAGGACCAUGUGAAGGAUAAAGAGGUGGGUAACUCGGUUGUUGAUACAUCGGGGGCCUUUGAAAACCCGACCCUCGAUUUUCUUGAUUGUUAUUCCACCCUCCUUGAUUGUUGCCUCCCCAAUUCCCUUGGUUAUUGUUGUUAUGCCAAUUCCCUUGAUUAUUGCCUCCACUCUAAUUGCCUUGAUUGUUGUUGUUAUUCCAAUUGCUUUGAUUGUUUCCACCACUCAAAUUACCUUGAUUGUGAGAAUUCCAAUUUCCUUGAUUAUUUUGAGGUCUACAUUGUUGUUGGCUUGGGAAAUGGGAGUUGUUUCUUUGCCCUUGAAAGUUGUUCACAUAUUGGACUCUUCUUCUUGGUCAUUAUAAGAAUCCUCUUGCUCAAACCCACUAUCUUCUUGAAUAAAAUUUUCCACUCGUUGUUUCACUUGUAGACUUCUUGUUCUUCGCUUGUUCACCAUCAUACUUACUCCCUCCAUUGCAUUGACUUGCCUCGGGUUUUGCACUUAUUGAAGUUGAGCCUUUGCCAAUUGGUUCAUGAUGGUGGUCAACUCGGUUAUGGCUUGCCCAUGGUCAUACAAUUCUUUGUGAAGGUGAAUCACAUUGGGAUCACCUUGUGGAACAUUUGCUUGGGAUUGGCACGCCGAUGAAUUAUCUUCCAUCUCAUCCAAAAUAUUGCACGCCUCCGCAUAAGGCAUAGUCAUGAAGUUUCCACCGGUAAUUUGGUUCACUACACAGUGGUUGGUUGUAUUGAUCCCCCGAUAGAAAGUUUAAUGAAUCAUGUUCUCCGUCAUAUCAUUGUUGGGGGCACUCUUUCACCAUUGUCCUAUACCUUUCCCAUAUCUCAUGUAGUGGUUCAUUGGGCUCUUGCUUGAAUUCUAGAAUUUCAUCUCGAAGAAUAGCCAUUUGCUCGGGAGAGAAGUACUUAGAAAUAAAUUUCUUCGCUAAUUUAUCCCACGUAUGAAUGGAAUGAUUUGGCAAAUGUUCCAACCAAUCUAAAGCUUUCCCCCGUAGAGAGAAGGGGAAAAGACUUAGCCUCAAAGCAUCCUUGGAGACAUUUGUUUGUUUACUCCCCCAACAUGUAUCUACGAACCCCUUCAAGUGUUUGUAUGCAUUUUGACCCGGUGCACCGGUGAAGAACCCUUGUUGCUCGAGUAAAGUGAGCAUCACGUUGGUUAUUUUAAAUUUGCCCACCCUGAUACGGGGAAGGACUAUUGCACUUGCGUACCCUUCAUUCGGCAACAGACGGUGUGGAACCGCUCGUGGUGGAGGUGGGGGUGGAGCGGGCACAUUAUCAUGAGGCACUCGGCCUCGUCUAUUGGCUUGAGGUUCAAGAGGGACCUCAUCCAUUUGAUCAUUCUCAAUAUCCACAUCCCCCAAAGCUAUAUUUCCAAGCUCAUUGCUUGCCAUGAUUGCACCUACAAUAACUCAACACAUUAGUAACAAGGAAGGAAAAGAAGAUAUUCUCAAAAAUACACCUAAAUAUAUAGCUAACACAGUUUUUAGCUCCCCGACAACGGCGCCAAAAAUUGAUCUCGUCCAAUUUCACGACUCAAAUCAAGGUUAUGAAACGGUCGAUUGCAAUAAUAGUACCCAACAAGAGUCGGGAUCGAUUUUCACAAGGAGCUAUAUAUGGGAGUUAGGAGUAUAUAUAGUAGUAUGUGAGUUUGACUAUCUCAAUUUACACUUCCACAAAUUUGGGUUGUUUCUAUGUCUAAUUUAAAACUAAGAUUGCAAAGUUAAGAAAUAAAACUAAGAGAAUUGUUUUUGUUAUUUUUCAUGUUUUAUAAAAAGCCUAGGGCUUUGACCAUCACCUAGGUGUUUGCCUUAUGGGAUAUGGACCUUAAUGAUUGUUUUAUUGAUCGGGGUGUAUUAUAGCUAUCAACUCUCAAUUACCCACUCAAUACCUCACGGUCAAAGAGUGAUUUUGCCCAAUUUGGCUUUCUCAAGUCCAAAUGGGUAUUGCACAAAAUGGUUGAUAAAAGCUCAUGUCGGGUUAUUACUAUCUCUAGGUUGAACCCUUUAAUUGGGAUUAUCAAUCUUUCGAUUGACCCAAUUUCUUGUUAGCCAAGUUGUCCUAGACUAAGUCUCUCUUUCUCAAGUAGAGACUAAGUCAAAUAUGCAUAAACUAAUAUUUGCAACCAUUAAUUCCACAAAUUAAAGUAUGAACAAGGCAAAAUAAUAAACACUCAACCAUAAACAAGCAUCAAAUUAAACACCCAUAAGGUUUACACACUAGGGUUGGGUCACAACCCUAGUAAACAUCUAGCUAGCCAUGCUUGAAAUUGAAGAAAUAGAAGAAGAAGUGAUAAAUAAACUCAUAUUGUGAAAUAAAAAUGAUAAAAUCUAUGUUAAAAUAUCCCAAAAUAUGAAAAACUACUAAAAGAAGUAAAAAGAAAUGGCUAUUGUAGUUGCUGAUGUCAAAAGUUCACCUUAAAUCGUGAAAUUCGUCUAUUUAUACACGGUUGAAAAUUUCGGAAAAAAAUUCCCUUCUAGAAGUUUUGCGGCCGCACAAUUACAUGUGCGGUCCGCAGAUUUCUUCAAUCUUGUCAGGAACUGGAGGUCUGCGGCCGCAUAAUUCUGAUCUAUGGCCGCAAGGCAUCCUUUCUGCGGUUCGUACUUUUAUAUUUGCGGUCACAACUAGGUCUUCUGUGGUCCGCACUUUUACACAUGCGGCCGCAAGGCGCUUCUUCUGUGGCCUCUCAAUUCAUGUGCGGUCCGCACUUAUGAGGAACUUGAAAUGCACAUUCUCUUAACUUUAUUCCUAGCCAUCGUUUGCGGCCGCACAAUUUAUGUGCAGACCGUACUUUGCACAAAGGUCUCCUGGCCUUUCCUUCAUCAUUUGCAGCCGCAGAUGAUAUUCUGCGGUCCGUACUUGUGAGCUUAUGUGCCUUUUAUGGCCUUGAGUUUAGAUUACUCCUUUUUAAGUUGGAUUUCAUCUCGGGAGUUCAUCUUCCAAUAUUUCUGCAAUUUAGCACAUUUCAUCAGUUUUUGAAAACACAAUUAAAUGCUUUUGGACUAAAAUAAAAGUUAAAAGGUACUAAUAAGUAGUCAAAAUACCCACUUAUCAGGCUUCUUGGCCUGCGGCCCAAGCACAAUGUUGAAAGGAAAGAGUAAUUAACAAGAGCUGGGAAGGGUAGUUUAGGGUUUUAACUUAGGUAAUAAUGUUAAUAACUACUUAAGAGCUUCUAGAAGAGGGUAAAAGGACCGACUAGCAAAGGAAAAAUAAAAAGGGGGUCAGAUGUGAGGGAUUUAAUGAGUAAAAAUAGAAAAUUAAAAGGGUUGAAAGGAAAAGAAAAUUAAUGAAGGAGCCCUAAAUCUUUGGCUAUAAAAGGACACUCUUCUCAUAGAACCACACACACAUUUUUUCACACGCCUAAGCCCUAUAGCAGCUGGAAAUUUGAGAAUUCCAUAUUUGAACUUCAGAGAAGCUUCAAAACCCCAAAGUUGAAAAGGCAAAAAAAAAAGGGGAAUCAGAAGCUGAUCCAAAUCUCAGCUUAUUUACUUUAUAUUCUCUGGGAAUUUCAAGAUAUAAGUGAUGUUGUUUGCUACUGUUUGUUGGAUCUGUUAUUUGAGCUUCUUCUUCAUCAUUCUAGACCUUUAUUUGGUCUUUGUUUUGUUCUUUUCUACCUUAGGUAUGUGUACUUUCAUCUAUAGCCUUUCGUUUUGAGUUUGAGAAUGCAAUUUGAGUUGCAUGUGCUCUAUUUGUGUUUAUUCUUAUAGAUCCAAGCAUGCUGGCUACAAAUCUGCCUGGUUUGCCUUCUUAAUUAACCUUUGAAUUGUUUGUCUACUCCUGACAAUGAUUUACACUCUUAAAUAAUAAUUUCUAAGUAAUGUGGUCAUUAAUAGUAAUUGAUUUGAGCCUAAUGUGAUGUUUAUCUACUGGAUUUUUAAAAUAGCCAAACUGAUUUACAAGAGUAACCCAAAUAGUUGUGUCUUUGUAAAUUUAGAAGUUGUUUGGAGAAAAGAGAACCACACGGGAGGCAGACUUUUGUUAUGGAAGCUCAUAGAAUAGAAGCCUAGAUUUAAUUUUAUAUUAAUGAGUCUGUAAUUCAUGCUAUGAUUAGUGAAAUGUAUGAUUUAAAUUGCCCGCCUCUGUCUUUGCAAUUUUAUAUUAAUGAGUUUGUAAUUAUACAUUUCUGAGGCCCAGGUCUAUUGCUUAGAAUUUUGAAUUUGUUUGUCCUGGUCCAACAGUUUUUGAGGCCUGCGAUAAUUUGUGGACUUCUGGAAAUAUUAAUGACAUUGAAACAUGAUGAUUUGGGCUUCAAGUUUAGCCCAUUUAUGACUACAAGACAUAUUAAAGGUCUGGUGCAUUUGUUUAGUUCAUUUGAGUCCAUAAUGAUUUACUUCUUUAAAUAUGCAUGUUCACCAAAUAAUUCCUUAGGUGUGAGACCUCAUUCAAUAAUCUCAAACAUUUAGAAAUUAAUUAACCUAUGAACACUCGUAGAAUGCUUUAGGCGCGCUCUUAAUGUACUAUCGUGAUUAUGUAUAUGCUUGCGUAACAUAAUUAUGAUUCCAAAAAUAAAUCAAGGUACGCGUUAACGCGACAUUGGUUAAACAAUCUUAUUAAUAAUAAAGUAUUAUUAAUUAUGUACACGUAUGUGCGACAUAAUUUUAGCACACCAAAUAAAAUGGAUUCACACACAUAUGAUCUGUUCCAAGAUUAAUUCCAUAACGUCACAAUCAAGUAAUUAAAAGCGG
This 37912-nucleotide long non-coding RNA is filed under the name Nicotiana tabacum (common tobacco). Its description in RNAcentral is "long non-coding RNA (NTAB_LNC007120)". The record is from RNAcentral. Lineage: Eukaryota; Viridiplantae; Streptophyta; Magnoliopsida; Solanales; Solanaceae.